CAGGUAUAGUUUAGUGGCAGAACACCAGCUUCCCAAGCUGGUCGUGACGGUUCGAUUCCGUUUACCUG
This 68-nucleotide transfer RNA is filed under the name human gut metagenome. It matches the Rfam family "tRNA". From Rfam's summary of the family: Transfer RNA (tRNA) molecules are approximately 80 nucleotides in length. Their secondary structure includes four short double-helical elements and three loops (D, anti-codon, and T loops). The record is from RNAcentral.